This 253-nucleotide ribosomal RNA is filed under the name uncultured bacterium. RNAcentral's name for it is "partial 16S ribosomal RNA". It matches the Rfam family "Bacterial small subunit ribosomal RNA", at positions 524 to 776 of the family's 1533-position model. The record is from RNAcentral.
UACGUAGGGGGCGAGCGUUGUCCGGAUUUACUGGGCGUAAAGCGCGUGUAGGCGGUACUCUAAGUCCGGGGUGAAAUCCGGGGGCUUAACUCCAGAACUGCCUUUGAUACUGAAGAUCUUGAGUUCGGGAGAGGUGAGUGGAACUGCGAGUGUAGAGGUGAAAUUCGUAGAUAUUCGCAAGAACACCAGUGGCGAAGGCGGCUCACUGGCCCGAUACUGACGCUGAGGCACGAAAGCGUGGGGAGCAAACGGG